Molecule: ribosomal RNA, 181 nt
Filed under: uncultured Pseudomonas sp.
Lineage: Bacteria; Pseudomonadati; Pseudomonadota; Gammaproteobacteria; Pseudomonadales; Pseudomonadaceae
Description: partial 16S ribosomal RNA
Rfam family: Bacterial small subunit ribosomal RNA
Source: RNAcentral
CCUACGGGAGGCAGCACGUGGGGAAUAUUGGACAAUGGGCGAAAGCCUGAUCCAGCCAUGCCGCGUGUGUGAAGAAGGUCUUCGGAUUGUAAAGCACUUUAAGUUGGGAGGAAGGGCUGUAGAUUAAUACUUCUGCAAUUUUGACGUACCGACAGAAUAAGCACCGGCUAACUCUGUGCCA